ACCUGGCUGGCUCAGUCAGUAGAGCAUAUGACUCUUGAUCUUGGGCCUGUGAGUUCAAGCCCCACACUGGGUG
RNAcentral lists this transfer RNA (73 nucleotides) under Felis catus (domestic cat). It matches the Rfam family "tRNA". Rfam says of the family: Transfer RNA (tRNA) molecules are approximately 80 nucleotides in length. Their secondary structure includes four short double-helical elements and three loops (D, anti-codon, and T loops). Further hydrogen bonds mediate the characteristic L-shaped molecular structure. tRNAs have two regions of fundamental functional importance: the anti-codon, which is responsible for specific mRNA codon recognition, and the 3' end, to which the tRNAs corresponding amino acid is attached (by aminoacyl-tRNA synthetases). tRNAs cope with the degeneracy of the genetic code in two manners: having more than one tRNA (with a specific anti-codon) for a particular amino acid; and 'wobble' base-pairing, i.e. permitting non-standard base-pairing at the 3rd anti-codon position. The record is from Rfam by way of RNAcentral. Lineage: Eukaryota; Metazoa; Chordata; Mammalia; Carnivora; Felidae.